RNAcentral lists this ribosomal RNA (468 nucleotides) under uncultured bacterium. RNAcentral describes it as "partial 16S ribosomal RNA". It matches the Rfam family "Bacterial small subunit ribosomal RNA", at positions 28 to 507 of the family's 1533-position model. The record is from RNAcentral.
GACGAACGCUGGCGGCGUGCUUAACACAUGCAAGUCGAACGGAAAGGCCCUGCUUUUGUGGGGUGCUCGAGUGGCGAACGGGUGAGUAACACGUGAGUAACCUGCCCUUGACUUUGGGAUAACUUCAGGAAACUGGGGCUAAUACCGGAUAGGAGCUCCUGCUGCAUGGUGGGGGUUGGAAAGUUUCGGCGGUUGGGGAUGGACUCGCGGCUUAUCAGCUUGUUGGUGGGGUAGUGGCUUACCAAGGCUUUGACGGGUAGCCGGCCUGAGAGGGUGACCGGCCACACUGGGACUGAGAUACGACCCAGCCUCCUCCGGGAGGCAGCAGUGGGGAAUAGUGCACAAUGGGCGGAAGCCUGCUGCAGCAACGCCGCGUGCGGGAUGACGGCCUUCCGGUUGUAAACCGCUUUCGCCUGUGACGAAGCGUGAGUGACGGUAAUGGGUAAAGAAGCACCGGCUAACUACGUG